Molecule: ribosomal RNA, 644 nt
Filed under: uncultured Porphyromonadaceae bacterium
Lineage: Bacteria; Pseudomonadati; Bacteroidota; Bacteroidia; Bacteroidales; Porphyromonadaceae
Description: bacterial SSU rRNA
Rfam family: Bacterial small subunit ribosomal RNA
Source: RNAcentral
GUAGCAAAUACUUUGGUGGCGACCGGCGCACGGGUGAGUAACGCGUAUGCAACCCAUCUAUCAGAGGGGAAUAACCCGGCGAAAGUCGGACUAAUACCGCAUAAAACAGGGACACCGCAUGGUGAUAUUUGUUAAAGAAAUUCGCUGAUAGAUGGGCAUGCGUUCCAUUAGGUAGUUGGUGAGGUAACGGCUCACCAAGCCGACGAUGGAUAGGGGAACUGAGAGGUUGGUCCCCCACACUGGUACUGAGACACGGACCAGACUCCUACGGGAGGCAGCAGUGAGGAAUAUUGGUCAAUGGGCGAGAGCCUGAACCAGCCAAGUCGCGUGAAGGAAGAAGGAUCUAUGGUUCGUAAACUUCUUUUGCAGGGGAAUAAAGUGCAGGACGUGUCCUGUUUUGUAUGUACCCUGAGAAUAAGGAUCGGCUAACUCCGUGCCAGCAGCCGCGGUAAUACGGAGGAUCCGAGCGUUAUCCGGAUUUAUUGGGUUUAAAGGGUGCGUAGGUGGUUUGAUAAGUCAGCGGUGAAAGUUUGCAGCUUAACUGUAAAAAUGCCGUUGAAACUGUCGGACUUGAGUGUAAAUGAGGUAGGCGGAAUGCGUGGUGUAGCGGUGAAAUGCUUAGAUAUCACGAAGAACUCCGAUUG